CGGACGGGUGAGUAAUGUCUGGGAAACUGCCUGAUGGAGGGGGAUAACUACUGGAAACGGUAGCUAAUACCGCAUAACGUCGCAGACCAAAGAGGGGGACCUUCGGGCCUCUUGCCAUCGGAUGUGCCCAGAUGGGAUUAGCUAGUAGGUGGGGUAACGGCUCACCUAGGCGACGAUCCCUAGCUGGUCUGAGAGGAUGCCAGCCACACUGGAACUGAGACACGGUCCAG
Molecule: ribosomal RNA, 230 nt
Filed under: uncultured bacterium
Lineage: Bacteria
Description: partial 16S ribosomal RNA
Rfam family: Bacterial small subunit ribosomal RNA
Source: RNAcentral